GGUGGGCGUCGGGAGUCCAGUUGGUUGGCUUCAGCCUUUGAGGUGCUGCCGGCUAGCGGUGCCGCUUCUGAGUGUCUCCUCGUCUCACUCCCUUGGCACCUUCGGCCGGUUCAAGUGAAGUGCCACCUGUGAAGUUGAUUGACAAGGGAGUUGAAUGAAUCCACUUAUUAGCACCUUGCUUGCUCUUCUUUCUUUUUGGAGCCAAAAGAUCCAUCGGCGCUCCACUACUGGGCUUUGAUUUGAAGAGACUGCUGGGAAAGGCUAUCUCGGUCAUCUUCCAUCUGAUACAUAGGUCAAACCAGGACUCACACACUCUCUCGCCGAUAUUUCCCUUCGCUCCCGUGAAUACAUCGUCUUCUACGCAUGGCGCCGCCGCCUUGGAUCGGCCCUCCGUCGCGUCGCUUCGGUCGUCACCACGCAUCUCAGCUCCAAUAACCAGGUCGUGAUGGCUGACAACGAGCUCCAGGUUCAUGGCUCACCAGGCUCCACUGGCUCCACAAACAGCUGUCUGCAGGCACUUGCACAGGUCAGCUGAGAUGCGUCACGUCCCCUCUGGUUUAUCUAGACGGCUGCAAAAGUAUGGUCAGAAAUUAAAGAGGGGAGCCAAAUGAGAGCACGGCUUAGAAAUAGCCAGGGUAGUCCAAGGUCGAAUCCUGGAAAAUUUGACAAUGGAUUCAGUUAGUAUACAAAUAUGCACAUUGAAUUAAUAUAA
This is a long non-coding RNA of Triticum dicoccoides, 712 nucleotides long. RefSeq lists it as uncharacterized. The transcript is spliced from 3 exons. The record is from RefSeq and is a predicted model, not a curated record. Lineage: Eukaryota; Viridiplantae; Streptophyta; Magnoliopsida; Poales; Poaceae.